Molecule: microRNA precursor, 59 nt
Filed under: Alligator mississippiensis (American alligator)
Lineage: Eukaryota; Metazoa; Chordata; Crocodylia; Alligatoridae
Description: Ami-Mir-17-P4a_pre stem-loop
Rfam family: mir-17 microRNA precursor family
About the family: This family represents the microRNA (miRNA) precursor mir-17, family, which includes mir-20, mir-91, and mir-103. miRNAs are transcribed as ~70nt precursors (modelled here) and subsequently processed by the Dicer enzyme to give a ~22nt product.
Source: RNAcentral
UAAAGUGCUUAUAGUGCAGGUAGUGUUCAGGAAUCUACUGCAUUAUGAGCACUUAAAGU